UGCGCAGGCGGCCGUGUGUGUCAGGUGUGAAAUCCCGGGGCUUAACCCCGGAACUGCGCCUGAAACUACAUGGCUAGAGUAUUGGAGAGGGUAGCGGAAUUCACGGUGUAGCAGUGAAAUGCGUAGAUAUCGUGAGGAACACCAGAGGCGAAGGCGGCUACCUGGACAAUUACUGACGCUCAGGCACGAAAGCGUGGGGAGCAAAAGGGAUUAGAUACCCCUGUAGUCCACGCCCUAAACGGUGCACACUAGGUCUUGGCGGAUUCGACCCCACCAGGACCCAAGCUAACGCGUUAAGUGUGCCGCCUGAGGACUACGGCCGCAAGGCUAAA
This 332-nucleotide ribosomal RNA is filed under the name uncultured bacterium. RNAcentral's name for it is "bacterial SSU rRNA". It matches the Rfam family "Bacterial small subunit ribosomal RNA", at positions 568 to 898 of the family's 1533-position model. The record is from RNAcentral.